RNAcentral lists this transfer RNA (72 nucleotides) under Coemansia sp. RSA 2399. Its description in RNAcentral is "tRNA-Glu". It matches the Rfam family "tRNA". From Rfam's summary of the family: Transfer RNA (tRNA) molecules are approximately 80 nucleotides in length. Their secondary structure includes four short double-helical elements and three loops (D, anti-codon, and T loops). Further hydrogen bonds mediate the characteristic L-shaped molecular structure. tRNAs have two regions of fundamental functional importance: the anti-codon, which is responsible for specific mRNA codon recognition, and the 3' end, to which the tRNAs corresponding amino acid is attached (by aminoacyl-tRNA synthetases). tRNAs cope with the degeneracy of the genetic code in two manners: having more than one tRNA (with a specific anti-codon) for a particular amino acid; and 'wobble' base-pairing, i.e. permitting non-standard base-pairing at the 3rd anti-codon position. Lineage: Eukaryota; Fungi; Kickxellomycota; Kickxellomycetes; Kickxellales; Kickxellaceae. The record is from RNAcentral. RNAcentral also lists the same sequence under 1 other name.
UCUGCAAUGGUCCAAUGGUUAGGAUUCUUCGCUUUCACCGAAGCGGUCGGGGUUCGAUUCCCCGUUGCGGAA